RNAcentral lists this non-coding RNA (111 nucleotides) under Paraburkholderia sp. Its description in RNAcentral is "SAH sequence". It matches the Rfam family "SAH (S-adenosyl-L-homocysteine) riboswitch aptamer". Lineage: Bacteria; Pseudomonadati; Pseudomonadota; Betaproteobacteria; Burkholderiales; Burkholderiaceae. The record is from RNAcentral.
GCCUUCGAGGAGCGUUGCGACGGGUUCCCGCCCGCCAGGCUCGAAGGUGGUCAAUUCGAAGAGUCAGUGCAUCAAGCGUUUGCUCUUCGUAUCGAACGGCGCUCACGUCAA